AUUGAACGCUGGCGGCAGGCCUAACACAUGCAAGUCGAACGGUAACAGGAAACAGCUUGCUGUUUCGCUGACGAGUGGCGGACGGGUGAGUAAUGUCUGGGAAACUGCCUGAUGGAGGGGGAUAACUACUGGAAACGGUAGCUAAUACCGCAUAACGUCGCAAGGCCAAAGAGGGGGACCUUCGGGCCUCUGGCCAUCGGAUCUGCCCAGAUGGGAUUAGCUAGGAGGUGGGGUAACGGCUCACCUAGGCGACGAUCCCUAGCUGGUCUGAGAGGAUGACCAGCCACACUGGAACUGAGACACGGUCCAGACUCCUACGGGAGGCAGCAGUGGGGAAUAUUGCACAAUGGGCGCAAGCCUGAUGCAGCCAUGCCGCGUGUAUGAAGAAGGCCUUCGGGUUGUAAAGUACUUUCAGCGGGGAGGAAGGGAGUAAAGUCAAUACCUUUGCUCAUUGACGUUACCCGCAGAAGAAGCACCGGCUAACUCCGUGCCAGCAGCCGCCGUAA
Molecule: ribosomal RNA, 506 nt
Filed under: uncultured bacterium
Lineage: Bacteria
Description: partial 16S ribosomal RNA
Rfam family: Bacterial small subunit ribosomal RNA
Source: RNAcentral